GUCCGUGCCGUAAACGAUGUUCACUAGAUGUCGGAAGAUUUGACCCUUUCGGUAUCGCAGCUAACGCAUUAAGUGAACCGCCUGGGGAGUACGGUCGCAAGACUAAAACUCAAAGGAAUUGACGGGGGCCCCGCACAAGCGGUGGAGUAUGUGGUUUAAUUCGACGCAACACGAAGAACCUUACCUGGAUUAGAAAUCAACUGGACGACCUGUAGAGAUAUGGGUCUCUCCCGCAAGGGAGUCGGUUGACAGGUGCUGCAUGGCUGUCGU
This 270-nucleotide ribosomal RNA is filed under the name uncultured bacterium. RNAcentral's name for it is "partial 16S ribosomal RNA". It matches the Rfam family "Bacterial small subunit ribosomal RNA", at positions 793 to 1055 of the family's 1533-position model. The record is from RNAcentral.